CAGCCGCCGCGGGAAUACGAAGGGGGCUAGCGUUGCUCGGAAUCACUGGGCGUAAAGGGUGCGUAGGCGGGUCUUUAAGUCAGGGGUGAAAUCCUGGAGCUCAACUCCAGAACUGCCUUGAUACUGAAGAUCUUGAGUUCGGGAGAGGUGAGUGGAACUGCGAGUGUAGAGGUGAAAUUCGUAGAUAUUCGCAAGAACACCAGUGGCGAAGGCGGCUCACUGGCCCGAUACUGACGCUGAGGCACGAAAGCGUGGGGAGCAAACAGGAUUAGAUACCCGCGUAGUCCCUGUCUCUUAUACA
This 301-nucleotide ribosomal RNA is filed under the name uncultured bacterium. RNAcentral describes it as "partial 16S ribosomal RNA". It matches the Rfam family "Bacterial small subunit ribosomal RNA", at positions 509 to 808 of the family's 1533-position model. The record is from RNAcentral.